Molecule: ribosomal RNA, 253 nt
Filed under: uncultured bacterium
Lineage: Bacteria
Description: partial 16S ribosomal RNA
Rfam family: Bacterial small subunit ribosomal RNA
Source: RNAcentral
CACGUAGGGCGCAAGCGUUGUCCGGAAUUAUUGGGCGUAAAGAGCUCGUAGGCGGUCUGUUGCGUCCGCUGUGAAAACUCGGGGCUUAACCCCGAGCCUGCAGUGGAUACGGGCAGACUAGAGGUAGGUAGGGGAGAAUGGAAUUCCCGGUGUAGCGGUGAAAUGCGCAGAUAUCGGGAGGAACACCGAUGGCGAAGGCAGCACUCUGGGCCGGCACUGACGCUGAGGAGCGAAAGCGUGGGGAGCGAACAGG